This 432-nucleotide ribosomal RNA is filed under the name uncultured Mesorhizobium sp. RNAcentral describes it as "bacterial SSU rRNA". It matches the Rfam family "Bacterial small subunit ribosomal RNA", at positions 8 to 489 of the family's 1533-position model. The record is from RNAcentral. Lineage: Bacteria; Pseudomonadati; Pseudomonadota; Alphaproteobacteria; Hyphomicrobiales; Phyllobacteriaceae.
AGAGUUUGAUCAUGGCUCAGAACGAACGCUGGCGGCAGGCCUAACACAUGCAAGUCGAGCGCACCGCAAGGUGAGCGGCGAACGGGUUAGUAACGCGUGGGAAUCUACCCAUCUCUACGGAACAACUCCGGGAAACUGGAGCUAAUACCGUAUACGUCCUUCGGGAGAAAGAUUUAUCGGAGAUGGAUGAGCCCGCGUUGGAUUAGCUAGUUGGUGGGGUAAUGGCCUACCAAGGCGACGAUCCAUAGCUGGUCUGAGAGGAUGAUCAGCCACACUGGGACUGAGACACGGCCCAGACUCCUACGGGAGGCAGCAGUGGGGAAUAUUGGACAAUGGGCGAAAGCCUGAUCCAGCCAUGCCGCGUGAGUGAUGAAGGCCCUAGGGUUGUAAAGCUCUUUCACCGGUGAAGAUAAUGACGGUAACCGAGAAGAG